CGGUCCAGACUCCUACGGGAGGCAGCAGUAGGGAAUCUUCCGCAAUGGGCGAAAGCCUGACGGAGCAACGCCGCGUGAGUGAUGAAGGUCUUAGGAUCGUAAAACUCUGUUAUUAGGGAAGAACAAACGUGUAAGUAACUGUGCACGUCUUGACGGUACCUAAUCAGAAAGCCACGGCUAACUACGUGCCAGCAGCCGCGGUAA
RNAcentral lists this ribosomal RNA (204 nucleotides) under Staphylococcus lugdunensis. RNAcentral's name for it is "partial 16S ribosomal RNA". It matches the Rfam family "Bacterial small subunit ribosomal RNA", at positions 327 to 523 of the family's 1533-position model. Lineage: Bacteria; Bacillati; Bacillota; Bacilli; Caryophanales; Staphylococcaceae. The record is from RNAcentral.